This 510-nucleotide ribosomal RNA is filed under the name uncultured bacterium. RNAcentral describes it as "partial 16S ribosomal RNA". It matches the Rfam family "Bacterial small subunit ribosomal RNA", at positions 28 to 507 of the family's 1533-position model. The record is from RNAcentral.
GACGAACGCUGGCGGCGUGCUUAACACAUGCAAGUCGAACGAAGAGCGAUGGAGGCUUGCUUCUAUCAAUCUUAGUGGCGAACGGGUGAGUAACGCGUAAUCAACCUGCCCUUCAGAGGGGGACAACAGUUGGAAACGACUGCUAAUACCGCAUACGAUCUAAUCUCGGCAUCGAGGAUAGAUGAAAGGUGGCCUCUACAUGUAAGCUAUCACUGAAGGAGGGGAUUGCGUCUGAUUAGCUAGUUGGAGGGGUAACGGCCCACCAAGGCGAUGAUCAGUAGCCGGUCUGAGAGGAUGAACGGCCACAUUGGGACUGAGACACGGCCCAGACUCCUACGGGAGGCAGCAGUGGGGAAUCUUCCGCAAUGGACGAAAGUCUGACGGAGCAACGCCGCGUGAGUGAUGACGGCCUUCGGGUUGUAAAGCUCUGUUAAUCGGGACGAAAGGCCUUCUUGCGAACAGUUAGAAGGAUUGACGGUACCGGAAUAGAAAGCCACGGCUAACUACGUG